This 26-nucleotide non-coding RNA is filed under the name Mus musculus (house mouse). Lineage: Eukaryota; Metazoa; Chordata; Mammalia; Rodentia; Muridae. The record is from RNAcentral.
UUCUAUAUUCUCUUUUCAGGUGGGUC